UGGGAAGUAUUGCGUCAAUGGGCAGGAAAGCCAUGACCGCAGCGACGCCGCGUGGGGGGAUGAAGGCCUUCGGGUUGUAAACCUCUUUCGGCAGGGACGAAGUUGACGUAUACCUGCGGAAGAAGCGCCGGCUAACUACGUGCCAGCAGCCGCGGUAAUACGUAGGGCGCGAGCGUUGUCCGGAAUUAUUGGGCGUAAAGAGCUCGUAGGCGGCUGGUCGCGUCUGCCGUGAAAGCCCGCGGCUUAACCGUGGGUCUGCGGUGGAUACGGGCCGGCUAGAGGCAGGCAGGGCAAGUGGAAUUCCUGGUGUAGCGGUGAAAUGCGCAGAUAUCAGGAGGAACACCGGUGGCGAAGGGCGGCUUUUGCUUGGGCCUUGUCCUGACGCUGAGGAGCGAAAGCGUGGGGAGCGAACA
This 413-nucleotide ribosomal RNA is filed under the name uncultured Microbispora sp. RNAcentral describes it as "bacterial SSU rRNA". It matches the Rfam family "Bacterial small subunit ribosomal RNA", at positions 355 to 774 of the family's 1533-position model. Lineage: Bacteria; Bacillati; Actinomycetota; Actinomycetes; Streptosporangiales; Streptosporangiaceae. The record is from RNAcentral.